This 272-nucleotide ribosomal RNA is filed under the name uncultured prokaryote. RNAcentral describes it as "partial 16S ribosomal RNA". It matches the Rfam family "Bacterial small subunit ribosomal RNA", at positions 524 to 796 of the family's 1533-position model. The record is from RNAcentral.
UACGGAGGGGGCUAGCGUUGUUCGGAAUUACUGGGCGUAAAGCGCACGUAGGCGGCUUUGUAAGUUAGAGGUGAAAGCCCGGGGCUCAACUCCGGAAUUGCCUUUAAGACUGCAUCGCUAGAAUUGUGGAGAGGUAAGUGGAAUUCCGAGUGUAGAGGUGAAAUUCGUAGAUAUUCGGAAGAACACCAGUGGCGAAGGCGACUUACUGGACACAUAUUGACGCUGAGGUGCGAAAGCGUGGGGAGCAAACAGGAUUAGAUACCCGGUAGUCC